UACGUAGGUGGCGAGCGUUAUCCGGAAUGAUUGGGCGUAAAGGGUGCGUAGGCGGUCCGUUAAGUCAGCGGUAAAAUUGCGGGGCUCAACCCCGUCGAGCCGUUGAAACUGUCAGACUUGAGUUGGCGAGAAGUACGCGGAAUGCGCGGUGUAGCGGUGAAAUGCAUAGAUAUCGCGCAGAACCCCGAUUGCGAAGGCAGCGUACCGGCUCCACACUGACGCUGAGGCACGAAAGCGUGGGUAUCGAACAGG
This 252-nucleotide ribosomal RNA is filed under the name uncultured Bacteroidales bacterium. RNAcentral's name for it is "partial 16S ribosomal RNA". It matches the Rfam family "Bacterial small subunit ribosomal RNA", at positions 524 to 776 of the family's 1533-position model. The record is from RNAcentral. Lineage: Bacteria; Pseudomonadati; Bacteroidota; Bacteroidia; Bacteroidales.